RNAcentral lists this ribosomal RNA (309 nucleotides) under Chaetoceros affinis. RNAcentral's name for it is "partial Bacterial large subunit ribosomal RNA". It matches the Rfam family "Bacterial large subunit ribosomal RNA", at positions 410 to 721 of the family's 2925-position model. The record is from RNAcentral. Lineage: Eukaryota; Bacillariophyta; Thalassiosirophyceae; Chaetocerotales; Chaetocerotaceae.
AAGUAGGUCGGGACACGUGUUAUCUUGACUGAAGAUAGGGGGACCAUCCUCUAAGGCUAAAUACUACCAACUGACCGAUAGUGAACCAGUACCGUGAGGGAAAGGCGAAAAGAACCCCUGUGAGGGGAGUGAAAUAGAACCUGAAACCGUGUACGUACAAGCAGUGGGAGCACGCUUAGGCGUGUGACUGCGUACCUUUUGUAUAAUGGGUCAGCGACUUAUAUUCUGUAGCAAGGUUAACCGAAUAGGGGAGCCGAAGGGAAACCGAGUCUUAACUGGGCGUUAAGUUGCAGGGUAUAGACCCGAAAC